RNAcentral lists this ribosomal RNA (164 nucleotides) under uncultured bacterium. RNAcentral describes it as "partial 16S rRNA". It matches the Rfam family "Bacterial small subunit ribosomal RNA", at positions 355 to 511 of the family's 1533-position model. The record is from RNAcentral.
UAGGGAAUCUUCCACAAUGGGCGAAAGCCUGAUGGAGCAACGCCGCGUGUGUGAUGAAGGGUUUCGGCUCGUAAAACACUGUUGUAAGAGAAGAAUGGCAUUGAGAGUAACUGUUCAAUGUGUGACGGUAUCUUACCAGAAAGGAACGGCUAAAUACGUGCCUG